RNAcentral lists this ribosomal RNA (520 nucleotides) under uncultured bacterium. RNAcentral describes it as "partial 16S ribosomal RNA". It matches the Rfam family "Bacterial small subunit ribosomal RNA", at positions 28 to 507 of the family's 1533-position model. The record is from RNAcentral.
GACGAACGCUGGCGGCGUGCCUAAUACAUGCAAGUCGAACGCACUCUCGUUUAGAUUGAAGGAGUUUGCUCCUGAUUGAUAAACAUUUGAGUGAGUGGCGGACGGGUGAGUAACACGUGGGUAACCUGCCCUAAAGUGGGGGAUAACAUUUGGAAACAGAUGCUAAUACCGCAUAAAACCUAACACCGCAUGGUGUAGGGUUGAAAGAUGGUUUCGUCUAUCACUUUAGGAUGGACCCGCGGUGCAUUAGUUAGUUGGUGAGGUAAAGGCUCACCAAGACCGUGAUGCAUAGCCGACCUGAGAGGGUAAUCGGCCACACUGGGACUGAGACACGGCCCAGACUCCUACGGGAGGCAGCAGUAGGGAAUCUUCCACAAUGGACGAAAGUCUGAUGGAGCAACGCCGCGUGAGUGAAGAAGGUUUUCGGAUCGUAAAACUCUGUUGUUGGAGAAGAAUGUAUCUGAUAGUAACUGAUCAGGUAGUGACGGUAUCCAACCAGAAAGCCACGGCUAACUACGUG